GGAAUCUUCCACAAUGGGCGCAAGCCUGAUGGAGCAACACCGCGUGAGUGAAGAAGGGUUUCGGCUCGUAAAGCUCUGUUGUUAGAGAAGAACGUGCGUGAGAGCAAUUGUUCACGCAGUGACGGUAUCUAACCAGAAAGUCACGGCUAACUACGUGCCAGCAGCCGCGGUAAUACGUAGGUGGCGAGCGUUGUCCGGAAUUAUUGGGCGUAAAGGGAGCGCAGGCGGGAAGGCAAGUCAGUCUUAAAAGUGCGGGGCUCAACCCCGUGAUGGGAUUGAAACUGUCUUUCUUGAGUGCAGGAGAGGAAAGCGGAAUUCCUAGUGUAGCGGUGAAAUGCGUAGAUAUUAGGAGGAACACCAGUGGCGAAGGCGGCUUUCUGGACUGUAACUGACGCUGAGGCUCGAAAGCGUGGGGAGCGAACA
This 423-nucleotide ribosomal RNA is filed under the name uncultured bacterium. Its description in RNAcentral is "bacterial SSU rRNA". It matches the Rfam family "Bacterial small subunit ribosomal RNA", at positions 358 to 774 of the family's 1533-position model. The record is from RNAcentral.